UGGGGAAUCUUGCGCAAUGGCCGAAAGGCUGACGCAGCGACGCCGCGUGAGGGAUGACGGCCUUCGGGUUGUAAACCUCUGUUGCUCGGGACGAACAACUGGUUUCGACCAGUCUGACGGUACCGGGUGAGGAAGCACCGGCUAACUCUGUGCCAGCAGCCGCGGUAAUACAGAGGGUGCGAGCGUUGUCCGGAAUCACUGGGCGUAAAGGGCGCGUAGGCGGUCUGCUAAGCGUGUGGUGAAAGCUCGGGGCUCAACCCCGAGUCGGCCGUGCGAACUGGUGGACUGGAGCAUGUCAGAGGCAGGCGGAAUUCCGGGUGUAGCGGUGGAAUGCGUAGAGAUCCGGAAGAACACCGGUGGCGAAGGCGGCCUGCUGGGACAUGGCUGACGCUGAGGCGCGACAGCGUGGGGGAGCAAAACA
This 421-nucleotide ribosomal RNA is filed under the name uncultured bacterium. RNAcentral's name for it is "partial 16S ribosomal RNA". It matches the Rfam family "Bacterial small subunit ribosomal RNA", at positions 355 to 775 of the family's 1533-position model. The record is from RNAcentral.